GCGCUUGUGGCUCAAUGGAUAGAGCGCUGGCCUCCGGAGCCAGUGGUUGGGGGUUCGAGUCCCUCCAAGCGCG
RNAcentral lists this transfer RNA (73 nucleotides) under Candidatus Omnitrophica bacterium CG1_02_41_171. RNAcentral describes it as "tRNA-Arg". It matches the Rfam family "tRNA". Rfam says of the family: Transfer RNA (tRNA) molecules are approximately 80 nucleotides in length. The record is from RNAcentral. Lineage: Bacteria; Pseudomonadati; Candidatus Omnitrophota. RNAcentral also lists the same sequence under 6 other names.